Molecule: unclassified non-coding RNA, 371 nt
Filed under: Hevea brasiliensis (rubber tree)
Lineage: Eukaryota; Viridiplantae; Streptophyta; Magnoliopsida; Malpighiales; Euphorbiaceae
Source: RNAcentral
GAAAACCUUGGCCCAAGUAUGCAGAUGCUCAGAUAUAGCAGGAAUGAUCAACUUCUCAACUUUUAAAGUAGAGAGGACUGUCUCAAUAGCAUCAAAAAGUCUACGACACAUCCCUUGCUGCCUAUAUAUAUUCCUGGUCCCAAUGAAUGGCAUUUCUGCAAGUUGAGUUCCACGGAUCCUUAUAGAUGCAGCAGAUAUUAUGUCAUCACCUCUUUCCAGAAUUGCAGUGUAGAAGCCACGGAAAUUCAGCCGACUUAAAUUUGAGCCAGUGUUGUAGAGAACGUUGUGAAUAAUAUUUAUCCCACUUCUCCUGUCGACAAUGGGUACGAAACAUUCAUCCAUAACAGCCAGUGCAACAGCUAGCUUAGAAU